Molecule: ribosomal RNA, 355 nt
Filed under: uncultured bacterium
Lineage: Bacteria
Description: partial 16S ribosomal RNA
Rfam family: Bacterial small subunit ribosomal RNA
Source: RNAcentral
CCUACGGGUGGCAGCAGUGGGGAAUAUUGCGCAAUGGGCGAAAGCCUGACGCAGCGACGCCGCGUGAGGGAUGAAGGUCUUCGGAUCGUAAACCUCUGUCAGCAGGGAAGCACGGUCACUGUGCUAAUCAGCAGUGAAUUGACGGUACCUACAAAGCAAGCACCGGCUACCUCCGUGCCAGCAGCCGCGGUAAUACGGGGGGUGCGAGCGUUGAUCGGAAUUUCUGGGCGUAAAGCGCUCGUAGGCGGUAUGUGAAGUCAAGGGGGAAAUCCCCGCGCUCAACGUGUGAACUGACUUUGAAACUGGCGAACUGGAGUGUGUGAGAGGAGAGUGGAAUUCCAGGUGUAGGAGUGAA